GACGAACGCUGGCGGCGUGCUUAACACAUGCAAGUCGAACGGAAGGGCCCUGCUUUUGUGGGGUGCUCGAGUGGCGAACGGGUGAGUAACACGAGAGUAACCUGCCCUUGACUUUGGGAUAACUUCAGGAAACUGGGGCUAAUACCGGAUAGGAGCUCCUGCUGCAUGGUGGGGGUUGGAAAGUUUCGGCGGUUGGGGAUGGACUCGCGGCUUAUCAGCUUGUUGGUGGGGUAGUGGCUUACCAAGGCUUUGACGGGUAGCCGGCCUGAGAGGGUGACCGGCCACAUUGGGACUGAGAUACGGCCCAGACUCCUACGGGAGGCAGCAGUGGGGAAUAUUGCACAAUGGGCGGAAGCCUGAUGCAGCAACGCCGCGUGCGGGAUGACGGCCUUCGGGUUGUAAACCGCUUUCGCCUGUGACGAAGCGUGAGUGACGGUAAUGGGUAAAGAAGCACCGGCUAACUACGUG
RNAcentral lists this ribosomal RNA (468 nucleotides) under uncultured bacterium. RNAcentral describes it as "partial 16S ribosomal RNA". It matches the Rfam family "Bacterial small subunit ribosomal RNA", at positions 28 to 507 of the family's 1533-position model. The record is from RNAcentral.